Molecule: long non-coding RNA, 200 nt
Filed under: Elaeis guineensis (African oil palm)
Lineage: Eukaryota; Viridiplantae; Streptophyta; Magnoliopsida; Arecales; Arecaceae
Description: long non-coding RNA (EGUI_LNC003428)
Source: RNAcentral
GGAUCCAAAAUGUUCUGACGUUUGAUACCAUGUCUGCUUAUGCCUGAGCUGAUAUAGGAACAUCAAGGUAUUUUUCUGGAUGAUGUGAUCUUUUGAGCAGUUUUUUUUUUUGAAAACCCGGCCUUUAUUAAAGACUAAAAAAAUUAUAAAAUGGAGGAUGAAAAAUUUAAAAAAGUUAUAAUAAUUUGGUAUAUGGAACA